This 460-nucleotide ribosomal RNA is filed under the name uncultured bacterium. Its description in RNAcentral is "partial 16S ribosomal RNA". It matches the Rfam family "Bacterial small subunit ribosomal RNA", at positions 338 to 795 of the family's 1533-position model. The record is from RNAcentral.
CCUACGGGAGGCAGCAGUGAGGAAUAUUGGUCAAUGGCCGUAAGGCUGAACCAGCCAAGUAGCGUGAGGGAAGACUGCCCUAUGGGUUGUAAACCUCUUUUAUGCGGGGAUAAAGGUGUACACGUGUGGCUGUUUGCAGGUACCGCAUGAAUAAGGACCGGCUAAUUCCGUGCCAGCAGCCGCGGUAAUACGGAAGGUCCGGGCGUUAUCCGGAUUUAUUGGGUUUAAAGGGAGCGUAGGCGGGUCUUUAAGUCUGCCGUGAAAUUUUGUGGCUCAACCAUGAGAGUGCAGCGCAUACUGGAGAGCUAGAGUGCGGGGGAGGGAGGCGGAAUUCGUGGUGUAGCGGUGAAAUGCUUAGAUAUCACGAAGAACCCCGAUUGCGAAGGCAGCCUGCCGCAGCGUGACUGACGCUGAGGCGCGAAAGCGGGGGUAGCAAACAGGAUUAGAUACCCGGGUAGUC